UUUUCACACUAUAAUAUUAACUUCCACAGGUCCACACAUCCUUCAUUAGAUUUUCAUGUGAAACAUUUGGGCUAGAAUUUAAGAAAGGCCAUCUAACAAAACUAACUUUAACUUGAUCCCUAUGUUGUAUUUUAACAUCUGAUAACUUAAGGAUUGUUGGUUGUAUGAAAUGUUGACGCGUGUUCAAGAGAUUUAGGGUAAGUGUGAUCGAAUGGGUAUUUUGGGUUAAUACGACUACUUUGCCACUGCAUGAUUUUACAAUAUCCUCUUUUGGGAACACCAUGUUGGAACAUCAUAAGAGCUAAGUAAA
RNAcentral lists this unclassified non-coding RNA (310 nucleotides) under Hevea brasiliensis (rubber tree). Lineage: Eukaryota; Viridiplantae; Streptophyta; Magnoliopsida; Malpighiales; Euphorbiaceae. The record is from RNAcentral.